RNAcentral lists this unclassified non-coding RNA (990 nucleotides) under Hevea brasiliensis (rubber tree). Lineage: Eukaryota; Viridiplantae; Streptophyta; Magnoliopsida; Malpighiales; Euphorbiaceae. The record is from RNAcentral.
GUUCAAUGCUUGUAGUAUGUCUGUAUGUUGAUGACUUGAUAUAUACCGGGAAUGAUAGUGUCAUGAUUGAUACAUUAAAAAAAAUAUGAUGACUGAAUUUGAUAUAACUGAUUUAGGAUUGAUGCAUUAUUUUCUCGGUAUUGAAGUUAUGCAGUCACUAGCUGGUAUUUUUAUUUCAUAGAAGAAGUAUGUUCUUGAGAUUUUGGACAAGUUCAAAAUGAAGGAUUGCAAUUCAGUUUGUAAUCCAACUGAAUAUGGCUUAAAGUUGAUGAAAGAUGAAGGAGGGAAGAAGAUAAAUGCCACCUUGUACAAGCAAAUUAUUGGAAGUUUGAUGCAUCUAACUUCAACCAGACCUGACAUCAUGUAUGGUGUUAGUUUAAUAAGUCGAUACAUGGAGAAUCCAACUGAGAAUCAUCUCUCUGCUGCAAAAAGAUUUUUUUCGUUAUUUAAAAGGCACAGUUGAUUUUGGAAUUUUUUAUGCAGCUGGAACAAAAGGAAAUUUGAUUGGCUUCUCAGAUAGUGACUUUGCAGGUGACCUCAAUGAUAGGAAAAGUACAAGUGGAUUUGUUUUUUUGAUGAGUUGUGGGGCUGUAUCAUGGUCAUCAAAGAAACAACAAAUUGUUACCUUAUCAAGUACUGAAGCAGAAUUUAUUACAGCAGCAACAUGUUCAUGUCAAGCUAUUUGGUUAAGAAGAUUGCUUGAAACACUCCAUAAUCAGCAGCAAGGUUCAAUAACAGUCUUUUGUGACAAUGUUUCAGCAAUCAAGAUUUCUAAAAAUCCAGUUUUACAUGGAAGAAGCAAGCAUAUUGAUGUUAGGUUCCAUUUUCUGCAUGAUCUUUGCAACAAUGGAACAAUUAAUUUGAAGUUUUGUAGAAGUCAAGAUUAGGUGGCAGAUAUUAUGACUAAACCGCUCAAGCAAGCUGUGUUUGUUAAGCUUCGAAGAAUGCCUGGAGUAUGCUCUUCAAUGGAAGUUGUUCAAGAGCUGGCUU